AAUGCUUUCUCAAAUUUUCUAAAUGCUGAAUUUGAAGGUUAAAGUUGGUAGAUCUAGCUAAAUUAGUAUAAAAUGGGAUGUGGGAUUUGCUAGGUUUUUGUUAAAACACUAGAAAGUUAGCUUCUUUUUGUUGUAUAGAUUUGUUUUAUUUUGUUUGAUUGGUGAGAAAACUAAAGAAAAUGGUGAGAAAACUGAAGAAAAUGGAUUUCAUUAGUUUGC
RNAcentral lists this long non-coding RNA (219 nucleotides) under Gossypium raimondii (Peruvian cotton). RNAcentral describes it as "long non-coding RNA (GRAI_LNC010606)". Lineage: Eukaryota; Viridiplantae; Streptophyta; Magnoliopsida; Malvales; Malvaceae. The record is from RNAcentral.